UCGCAAGAGGGAUCUAUGGUUAGUGGCGCACGGGUGAGUAACGCGUAGGUAAUCUGCCUUCAGGGCCGGAACAACCAUUGGAAACGAUGGCUAAUGCCGGAUAAGACCACAUAUAGCAAUGUAUGGGGUAAAAGGAGUAAUUCACCUGGAGAUGAGCCUGCGUCCUAUCAGGUAGUUGGUAAGGUAAUGGCUUACCAAGCCUAAGACGGGUAGCCGGUCUGAGAGGAUGAACGGCCACACUGGAACUGAGACACGGUCCAGACUCCUACGGGAGGCAGCAGUGAGGAAUUUUGCGCAAUGGGGGAAACCCUGACGCAGCGACGCCGCGUGGAGGAAGAAGGCCUUCGGGUUGUAAACUCCUUUUGUAGGGAAAGAUGAUGACGGUACCUUACGAAUAAGCCACGGCUAACUCUGUGCCAGCAGCCGCGGUAAGACAGAGGUGGCAAGCGUUGCUCGGAAUUACUGGGCUUAAAGGGUGCGUAGGCGGUUAGAUAAG
Molecule: ribosomal RNA, 496 nt
Filed under: uncultured Nitrospirota bacterium
Lineage: Bacteria; Pseudomonadati; Nitrospirota
Description: bacterial SSU rRNA
Rfam family: Bacterial small subunit ribosomal RNA
Source: RNAcentral